Molecule: non-coding RNA, 79 nt
Organism: Trichonephila clavipes
Lineage: Eukaryota; Metazoa; Arthropoda; Arachnida; Araneae; Nephilidae
Source: the annotation of a GenBank genome assembly
GCCUCCGUGGCGCAAUCGGCUAGCGCGUUCGGCUGUUAACCGAAAGGUUGGUGGUUCGAAAAAAGCCCACCCGGGGGCG